Long non-coding RNA from Chionomys nivalis (European snow vole), 232 nucleotides. RefSeq lists it as uncharacterized. The transcript has 3 exons. NCBI's taxonomy places the organism in Eukaryota, Metazoa, Chordata, Mammalia, Rodentia, Cricetidae. The record is from RefSeq and is a predicted model, not a curated record.
GCACACCAGCAUAGGGGUGAUCGUCCCCCUGAGCAGUAUAAACAUGGAGAGAUUCUUCAAAACCCAAUGGGACAAAUAACAGAUGAAUUCAUAAACCUGUUCUUCUCUGUGAGCAGCAGCCGGUUAACAGUUACCUUUAAUGAUCACUCAGAAAGCAUUUAAUGAAAAAAUGAACUAUAAAGGGGAACACUUGAAGUGUAUAUGAGAAGAGAAGAAAAUGAGCAUAGGAGGA